CAGAACUGCUGAGCCGGGGCCAAGAUUGCUUCUGGCAUCUGGAAUGCAUUAACAACGGCCCACAAAUCUGAAUCUCAUCUCCUUGGAAGAGAGUGGAGGAGAGACAGCGAGCGAGGGACUCCUUGAGCAAGGGUUAUUGGUAGCAGGUCAUGAGGCUUCCAGUUGGAGGCAUGCUGCAGCCAGUCCCACACAUAUGAUGUUCCCGAACUCUCUCCCCAGGGAUGCAUUGGAAGAAAUAGAAGCUAAUGUCAGUAGUUCACCAGCACACCUCUCCUUGGCUUAUGGGACCUUUCUUUCUUACUGAUGAGGCCGAGUGAGGUGUAAAGAGCUGAAGGCUGGAAAUGUCCACAAUAACCAAACUGUGGAAAGAGCCAAGAUGUCCAUCGACAGAUGAAUGGAUAAAGAAGAUGUGGUAUA
Molecule: non-coding RNA, 417 nt
Organism: Leptonychotes weddellii (Weddell seal)
Lineage: Eukaryota; Metazoa; Chordata; Mammalia; Carnivora; Phocidae
Source: RefSeq, a predicted model, not a curated record